GAAGAUAUUGACGUUCAGAACGAGGAAAAUCAUGGUGUUGAAUCUUUCGGGGAUAACAUAAGCCAGGCUAACUAUGAUGGUUGGAGUGGUGAAGAUGGAUAUGAGCAUGAGGAUGGAGCUAAUAUGGACAUUGAGGAAGCAGAAAUCCAGCAACGUGCGCUGGAGACACAGUUGAAGGUUAUGGGUAUGACAUUUGCAUCACAAUGGGAGGCUCACAUGUUCUAUAAUAACUACGCCAAAGACCGUGGAUUCAGUAUCAGAAAAGAUAAGGUGAAACGAGGAAAAGGACUUUCAUCCACUGUUCGGUAUAGGAGAUACGUUUGCUCGAGGGCAGGAAAACGUCUCAGUAAAUUUUUAAACCCGGAGGGCCGUACCCGCAGGCUAAGACCAGAGACUCGUUGCGAGUGUGGCGCACAUUUAGUCGUGAAGUUGGACAAAGGACGU
Molecule: ribosomal RNA, 444 nt
Filed under: Triticum aestivum (bread wheat)
Lineage: Eukaryota; Viridiplantae; Streptophyta; Magnoliopsida; Poales; Poaceae
Description: partial small subunit ribosomal RNA
Source: RNAcentral